CACAAUUUUUCAUGAUGAACAGUUUGAGCUGUGAUGAACCAGAGUACAAUUCCAGAACGUUUACAUAUAUUGAACAUUAAGGUUAGAAGUUGCAGUUUUCUGCACUGGUUUGGCUAGUUAAAAUGACUUGCACCCUUGCUGGCUUUAGACCAUUGAGCAUUAAAAGCAAAUCAGCCCGUCUGAAGUUUCCUCUAGGCUUUGUUUACAUGAAUUUGACAACCUUCAAGCCUCUUCUCCUAACCUUUCUUAAUCUGACAUGGGAGGCAACAUUAUUGUCAGUUUAUCACCAAGAGGAAUAAGAAGGGGCAUUUCUUGUUGCUUUUCGUGAUAUCAGAGAAGAUAAGUCUGACUUUCCUGAAUGAUCGUAUAAAAAGUCUCUCUUGUAACUAAAAUUAUAAAGAAGCAAUGCCUGAAAUAUAAGAUACAAUGUUUUUGUGAGAGAAUAAUAUAAAUUAUAUCUUAAGAAUUCAUAUAACAGCUUAAGUUAUUGGGUUAAGAUAGUUUUGUAGCAUAAUAUCAAAGCCUUAAUAACCAAGCGGUCACGAGUUCGAAUCUCAUCAUCCCUAUUUAUUUGAUAAAAAUUAAACACAAGAUAAUAUGGGUCUGUGCAAAUUUCAAGCUCAAAUAACUUUUCUUUAAAGAAAUAUGUAAUUGGGUGGAGAUAAUUUUUUUUUUUUUUUUAACAGUUUCUUAAUAUCCGGAAGAAACUAAAUGCCAAAACUCUUCAGACUUGCUGCUUUAGACCAUUAAGCUUGUAAGAAUAAAACAUGAUGGAACACAAACACACCUUGAUGCAUGACGAUCAUGCCUAUGUUUACAGAAUUCUGUAAGCUGCAUUGCUUCUCUAAC
This 849-nucleotide long non-coding RNA is filed under the name Populus trichocarpa (black cottonwood). RNAcentral describes it as "long non-coding RNA (PTRI_LNC002859)". The record is from RNAcentral. Lineage: Eukaryota; Viridiplantae; Streptophyta; Magnoliopsida; Malpighiales; Salicaceae.